RNAcentral lists this long non-coding RNA (679 nucleotides) under Homo sapiens (human). Its description in RNAcentral is "non-protein coding lnc-RAB38-2:1". Lineage: Eukaryota; Metazoa; Chordata; Mammalia; Primates; Hominidae. The record is from RNAcentral.
GUAAGGGAGGAGGUGGUAGUAAAGAAACCUUUAGACUGAAAAAUGUAAAGAUACAAUAUGAAAGGAGAAAAAAAACAACAAAAGAACCCACCAUGGAAGUUUCAACCCACCACCACCACAUGGUGCCAAAAACUUCAAAAUGGAACAUUUCUUAUAUUGGCACAUAUUUUUGUGAGAACAAACAUAUGGUUGUGAGCAUAUUCUUACCUUCAUUGUGAUCUGCAUAUUUCCUCUCUGCAGGAAAAUUUAAAUGCACUGUUGACAUCGUUUUAUAGUCACAUAAGAAGAAAGCAGGCAAAGAAAUGUUAUGAUUGGACUUAUUCAUGAGAUACCACAGUCUCUAAUAUAUGAAGUUUUUCAUAUUUACACUACUGGUGAAUCUCUAGUUGUAUACCUGCCUCUGUGGUCUCAUUGUUGGUCCCUAGGAUAGCUUAUAAAUAAAAACAGAUGAUACUGUCUACUGGCCAGAACAAGCUCACAACUCACUUUCUACUCCAUUCUCAAGUGACUAUGUAGAGAAAGAUGGAUGGUUGAGGUCAGGAUUUGGAGUUCUCUGGCUAACUGCAUAUUAACUUUGUUAUCAUCGCCAAUAUUAUCACCUGACAGAGAAACAGACUUGAUGGAUUUGGGCUUUAGCCCUGACUUCAUCACAAAUAAACAGUGUCAUCUUGGAUGCUAA